GUUGGUGCUUUUUGCGGUUGGGGUACACCUCGUUACAUUCCGAACCGAGCAGUUAAGCCAGCCAGCGCCGAUGGUACUUACGGCAUUCAGCCGCCGGGAGAGUAGGCCAGCGCCAACA
Molecule: ribosomal RNA, 118 nt
Filed under: Candidatus Berkelbacteria bacterium RIFCSPHIGHO2_12_FULL_50_11
Lineage: Bacteria; Candidatus Berkelbacteria
Also listed under: 1 other name
Source: RNAcentral